AAGUUCAUAGGGUGGAGGUCAUCGAGAAAUGAGAGGGGAGGUAUCUUUUGCUUGUGACUUGGGAGGUGUGCGUUUGGGGUAUCACGUGGUUACAGGACCCGGUGUUCAUACUGGGUGACAACUUCGGUAGGAAUCGGGAAGCGCGUACAUGGAACUAGAAGUGUUAUUAAUGCUUUACAUUAUCGCCACGUAGGCCGUUUAUUGAUCGAGGGAAUAUAAGUACGGUAACGUCGCGUCAUCCUGAAGUUGUCUUUGUUCUAUUUGUCUAACUUGCAAUUUUGUUGUGUUGUACUUUAUCGACCAGUCCAACUAACUUGGUUGCAACACUACAGUCGGUCAGUAGCCUAUAUUAAGCCGAGUAUUAUGGGCUGUAUGUCUUAUUCCUGAUAAUCAGAAGAAUAUACGACCUUCAUGUAUAAAGUCUUGUUUAUUGCGCCUGCAAAUUGUAUAGCAUAUCUCGGUCUUGAUCAUGCUGACGGGAUUUGGAAGGAAGUGCUAAUUUAAUAAAUCACACGGCUGUUAAUGAAGAAACACCAAAACAAACAAGUAAAAUGUUGUCAUGCUGUUAAUUCUCAAAUCAUUCGGUGAUUUUCUUUACUUUCUUUCAUUCGGUGAUUUUCUUUACUUUCUUUAGUAUUUUAAUCAGAGGUUUUCUAAUAGCCUAUUCAUUUUGCACUUGGUUUAUCUUCCUGGACACUGUUCUUGAUAGUCUAUUUUAGUUUUUACUCGGCUGCUUCUAAUGAUCCCAUUCAUCGACAUAACAACAUGAACGAAAAGUCUGAUUUGGUUGGUAGUACGGACAGUGAUAACAAAAAUGUUGAUUCGGAAAAAAUGAAAAUAACCAAAUAUGAUGACCCUGACGCGUUCCAGGGGCACUUUAAUAAUGGCACGAGAGCUAUACCAGCCACCCAUCUGUACAAGCGGCGAUGGUUUAUUGUGUGUUUGUUCAGCUCGUACUCCCUGUGUAACUCUUUCCAAUGGAUACAGUAUGGAAUUAUCAACAAUAUUUUUACGAAGUUCUACAGUGUCGACUCUUUCACCAUUGACUGGAUGUCAAUGGUCUAUAUGUUGACAUACAUCCCUUUCAUAUUUCCCGUCACCUGGCUUUUGGACAAAAAGGGAUUGCGGGUAAUCGCACUUAUAGCGACCGCUUUGAAUUGCAUCGGGACGUGGAUAAAGGUGGCAAGCGUAAGAACUGACUUGUUUGGCGUAGCGAUGUUGGGACAGUUUACCAGUGCUCUGGCCCAGGUGUUCAUACUUGGAAUGCCAUCCCGUAUCGCCUCGGUGUGGUUUGGUUCCGAAGAGGUCUCUACAGCCUGCUCGAUUGGAGUCUUUGGAAACCAGCUGGGCAUAGCCAUCGGGUUCCUUGUCCCACCCAUGAUGGUGCCCAAUGUGGAUGACAUGGACAUGCUGGCACAUCACAUCAGGAUCAUGUUCUACAUGACUGCUGGAGUGGCGACCCUGCUGUUCAUCCUGGUGACCCUAGUGUUCCAGGACAUACCGGAAAUUCCACCAACGCAGGCCCAGGUGACAGCCCGGAGCAUCCCCCCAGAACAGUACUCCUACAUGGCCUCCAUCCUCAGACUCCUCCGCAACAAGCCCUUCCUCCUCCUCAUCCUCACCUAUGGUCUGAAUGUUGGCUGUUUCUAUGCUGUGGGCACGCUGCUGAACAGGAUGAUCAUCGAGAUCUACGAAGAUGAAGAGGUGAAUGCAGGGAGAAUUGGCCUCACUAUCGUCAUUGCAGGCAUGCUGGGCUCACUCAUCUGUGGUUUCUGGCUAGACAGAACAAAAACAUACAAACAGACUACAUUCGUCAUUUACUUCAUGUCUUUCCUUGGGAUGGUGGUAUACGCCUUCACCCUCGACCUGGGUCACCUGUGGGUGGUCUUCAUCACUGCUGGUACGCUGGGGUUCUUCAUGACAGGGUACCUCCCCCUGGGGUUCGAGUUUGCGGUGGAGCUGACGUACCCGGAGUCAGAAGGCACAUCUUCGGGCCUGCUUAACUGCUCGGCACAAGUAUUCGGGAUCGGAUUCACCAUCGCUCAGGGGAAAGUGAUGGAUGCCUUCGGUACACUUGCUGGAAACAUCUUCCUUUGUGCCUUUCUUUUAGUUGGGACCAUUCUUACAGGAUUUAUCAAGUCAGAUCUGAGGAGGCAAAAGGCGAACAAGUCUGCUGAGGAGUGUGUAAGCAUUUAUGUGUGUGGUGUCUGCAAUGUGAUGCUACAUGCACAGGAUGGCCUUGGAUGGCUUCUAUGCCUGCUUUGAAUGUGGGUAUCGUUUGACGGCGCUUCUAAAAACUCCAUUGACUCCAUGCUUGCUCAGAACAUCGUCUCCAUCCUCCUCGGCUUGGCUGUCCUUAACCGCUACCCCGCCGUUUUUGAAUUUGAGCACCUUUCCGUGCUCGGCUGUACCGCAUCUCCCACGUCAUGAAAUGCCUUUAAAUGUGCACUGAUGCACUGAUGCAUCUUUGCUCGGUUUCCUCCAGGUAUGACUGAUUUUGACUAGUGUUGCCAUCAGAUUUGGAACAAUGUGUGAAGGAUGAACUUUCACCUCACAAAAACUCUGCCAGUGUAAAGCUGGUCGCAUCGAAUCACUUUAUGGUUGCAAUUAAGUGAUGACUUUGUGGUGCUGCUGCCAAUUGAUGAUGUACAGUAAAACAUGACCAUUUCUGCUCGCUUUACUAGUCAAAAUAGGCACUUGUCCUUUGGACGUCAAAAACAAAUCACCAAUGGAUCAUUUUCCGGAUUUCACCAGCAUUUCUUACACAUUUUUAACAGCUGGAUACAAAUCAUUUUCAGUUUAUGCCUGCAGUCCGUUUCUCUUCAUCAACUUCCUCUACGAUCACUUCCUGCUCUUGCAUCAGUUCCUGCUCUUGCACUGGUCUCUGGACGGAUCACAGUCCCUCCAACCAGUCAAUUACCCAUCAAUCCAUGCUCAUUCAUCGCUGCUGGCGCCUGUCUCAGGUACCAGACUUUGUCAUAGCAGCAGAAAAACAACUGCCUCUCCACAUUUUUGAUAUUUCAGGGCUGUUUUUCUUGUUUGAGCAUCAAGCUGCUGUCACCAUAGGAGCAAAGUUUAAAAUCUUGCUAGUUUAGAAUGUUCUAGAAUGAGGGCGUUCUGCCCAUUGCACACCGUGCUGCUGAGUUAAGCACGUUAAUGUGGACGACGCUUGCAGUCGUCGACCAAUGAAGUCGGUGACGUAGGCGGAAUUACCAGAGGCACAGGCGUGUCAACCCCCCGCACCUCCACCCGCCAUCACCGCCACCACUCGUGACUUCCCCCGGUGUUGUUCCAGGCGGUGCAUACCCAGUCGUCGGUGCAGGACCAAUGGGCAGUGACCCCCAUGGCUGGGGCACAGCCCUGAUCGCUAGCCUCAAACCGUCAAACCCAAUCACAGACACGCCCAGGAGCUGGAGGAUGGCCUGGAGAGGGACAC
Anguilla rostrata (American eel) is the source of this 3436-nucleotide RNA transcript. It is a transcript of the gene named heme transporter FLVCR2-like, with no coding region annotated. The record is from RefSeq and is a predicted model, not a curated record. The transcript is spliced from 10 exons. NCBI's taxonomy places the organism in Eukaryota, Metazoa, Chordata, Actinopteri, Anguilliformes, Anguillidae.